Molecule: ribosomal RNA, 253 nt
Filed under: uncultured bacterium
Lineage: Bacteria
Description: partial 16S ribosomal RNA
Rfam family: Bacterial small subunit ribosomal RNA
Source: RNAcentral
GACGUAGGGGGCCAGCGUUGUUCGGAAUUACUGGGUGUAAAGGGUUCGUAGGCGGUGUGGCAAGUCGGGAGUGAAAUCUCUGGGCUCAACUCAGAGACUGCUUCCGAAACUGCUGUGCUGGAGUGUGGGAGAGGCGCGUGGAAUUGCAGGUGUAGCGGUGAAAUGCGUAGAGAUCGGAAAGAACACCAACGGCGAAAGCACUCUGCUGGGCCGACACUGACACUGAGAGACGAAAGCUAGGGGAGCGAAUGGG